This 239-nucleotide ribosomal RNA is filed under the name uncultured bacterium. RNAcentral's name for it is "partial 16S ribosomal RNA". It matches the Rfam family "Bacterial small subunit ribosomal RNA", at positions 100 to 339 of the family's 1533-position model. The record is from RNAcentral.
GGACGGGUGAGUAACACGUGAGCAAUCUGCCCAUAAGAGGGGGACAACAGUUGGAAACGACUGCUAAUACCGCAUAAGACCACAUUACCGCAUGGUAGAGGGGUCAAAGAGAUAUCGCUUAUGGAUGAGCUCGCGUCCUAUUAGGUAGUUGGUGAGGUAACGGCCCACCAAGCCGACGAUAGGUAGCCGACCUGAGAGGGUGAUCGGCCACAUUGGAACUGAGACACGGUCCAAACUCC